GACGAACGCUGGCGGCGUGCUUAACACAUGCAAGUCGAGCGGUAAGGCCCUUUCGGGGGUACACGAGCGGCGAACGGGUGAGUAACACGUGGGUGACCUGCCCUCAGCUCUGGGAUAAGCCUGGGAAACUGGGUCUAAUACUGGAUAUGACUCCACGGUGCAUGUCGUGGGGUGGAAAGCCUUGUGCGGCUGAGGAUGGGGCCCGCGGCCUAUCAGCUUGUUGGUGGGGUGANGGCCUACCAAGGCGACGACGGGUAGCCGGCCUGAGAGGGCGACCGGCCACACUGGGACUGAGACACGGCCCAGACUCCUACGGGAGGCAGCAGUGGGGAAGUCUUGCGCAAUGGGCGAAAGCCUGACGCAGCGACGCCGCGUGAGGGAUGACGGCCU
This 390-nucleotide ribosomal RNA is filed under the name uncultured bacterium. Its description in RNAcentral is "bacterial SSU rRNA". It matches the Rfam family "Bacterial small subunit ribosomal RNA", at positions 28 to 417 of the family's 1533-position model. The record is from RNAcentral.